This 2010-nucleotide long non-coding RNA is filed under the name Capsicum annuum. RNAcentral's name for it is "long non-coding RNA (CANN_LNC003464)". The record is from RNAcentral. Lineage: Eukaryota; Viridiplantae; Streptophyta; Magnoliopsida; Solanales; Solanaceae.
UAAAAAUUGGUAACGAGGGAGUGAUAAUGGCGACAAUGAACGACGGUAGUGAAGAUAUAAUUUCACUGAACGACGGUAUUGAAGGUCAAUCAAGAAAUUCCCAUCUUCACUCACAUCUUCACUGAUUGGAGGUAAAAAUUUGUUCCAUUUUCUAAGUACUACCUUGUUUCUCUUGUUUGGCUGUUUGUCCCUUGUCGUGUAUAAAUAUUUCGCUAUUAGGAAUUGGGAUUUAGUAUAUUUAUGUUUUCCAUGUGUUCCACCUUACAGUUGUUUGAAUCCUUAUCCAAUAUUCUAAGCCUCACUAGGAAGUCGGUAUUUAUUAAAUUUCCGACUACCGCAGUCGAAAAAUUUAUAAUUAUUAAAUAAUUAUUUAUCAAAUUUACGACUACAGUAGUUGGAAUAUAUAUAAUUAUUAAAUAAAUAUUUAUUAAAUAUCCGACUACGUUUCCGACUAUAGUAGUCAGAAAUUUCCGAAUAUAGUAGUCUGAAAUAUUUUUCCGACAAGUUAUAUUCUGACUACCAUGAAACAGUCGGAAAGUAGUCAGAACUAACUUAUUUUUCGACCACAUUCCGACUACAUUAACCGUCGGAAAAAUGAAGUUUUCUAGUAGUGCUCGGGAGUAGUGUUAGCGGAAUGAUGGGCCUUGUGUUCCAAGUCCAACAGUGAUUGGUCUGCUGAAAGCCCAGAAGUGUUUAAUUGGUUUGGACCUAUCUGUGGCCCAUUAGAAACUCUGGAAAAUGUUUGCUUGGUGCCUGAACCUUAAUUCCCAGAAAACCAGAAUGCUUUAAAAUGUUUUGGGUGUUGCUAUUCUUUGUUAUGUUCUUAGUCUUAAUAUUAAGUAAUUAGAUAUAUGUUCUCUGAGUGUUUGCUUCAAAUUAACCCAUCCCAAAAUCCAUCAAAUGGCCAUUACGAAUAUGAAGUUUUUUUUUUUUAAAUCUUUUAUAGGCACCGUUAGCAUGCAGUAUCAAAUUUUCUUCAGCUACAACUAACUAAUGAAAGUUUUGAUAAAUCUUAAGUCAUAAGGGGCGAUCAAAUUAGUUUACUCAGCAAAUUUAAAUUAAAACAGAUGAAUGUUUUGCUAACUAAAAUGUAAUUAAAAUUUAAAUGUUCAAAAAUUAUAUAAAAAAUAUAUAUGCGAUAAGUUGCAAUCCAUUCAAUAUUAAUUUGAUGGUGAAAAAAUAUAUCUUGAAAUAUGAUCAUAUUCAUGCGAUUUGACUCUCAAAAAAUGAAAUGUCACAAAUAAAUAACUUAGAAAAGCGAAAUGUGACAAGUGAAUGACUUUCCAGAAGCAAAAUACAAGAAGUAAACGAAUAGGACAAUCCAUGAAGAUGCUAGGUGCGAGGUGGCAGAAACCAGUCACACGAGGCCAUAACAUUGUGUUAGGAAGUUAAAGGAAAAAGCACCAGUCACACGAGGCCAUAACAUUGUGUUAGGAAGUUAAAGGAAAAAGCACAAACAUAGAAGAGAAACUUUAUAAAUCCUUUUGACUUGUUUGGGCUUUAAACAGACAGAAAGAAAUUGAAAAAAAAAAAACAAGAAAAUAAACUAGUACAUUCUUUAAUUUCCUCUUCAUCAUUUAGAGUACUCGAUCUCAUCAUUUAUUAAUGGAAUAACAAGGACACAAGCGACGGUGGUACUACAAAUUUUUCUUUCUCCAACACUUAGUUAACUUUCUUCCACUUUUAUCCCAUAGUCUUAAAUUCUAAUUUGCCAAGUUAAUUUAUUACUUCUUGCAAGGCACCUUCUUUGAGGGCUCAAAUCCAAAUGGCCCAACGGUGAAGACAUCAAAUUUGGUGAUAGCUGGAGGUGUUGGCUUGGGAGGUGGUGUGUAUUUCAACAAAGCACCAGAUUUUCCACCAUUGAAAUUUGUUGGGACAUUACAGUAAGAGUUGUUUGAUGAGACCAAGAACACCUUGCACUUGUGGUAGGCUCCUGAGGUCAAGAGUUUUGGCAUGAUCCAGAAGUAUCCAUUCUUGUCUGUCUUUCCCUGUUCAACUAGUGUCUUUUUG